Molecule: ribosomal RNA, 520 nt
Filed under: uncultured Glomus
Lineage: Eukaryota; Fungi; Glomeromycota; Glomeromycetes; Glomerales; Glomeraceae
Description: SSU rRNA
Rfam family: Eukaryotic small subunit ribosomal RNA
Source: RNAcentral
AGCAGCCGCGGUAAUUCCAGCUCCAAUAGCGUAUAUUAAAGUUGUUGCAGUUAAAAAGCUCGUAGUUGAAUUUCGGGAUCAAUAUAUCGGUCGUGCCUUGGUACGUACUGGUAUCAUUGGUUUCUCCUUUCUGACGAACCAUGAUGUCAUUAAUUUGGUGUUAUGGGAAGUUAGGACUGUUACUUUGAAAAAAUUAGAGUGUUUAAAGCAGGCUUUAGCUUGAAUACAUUAGCAUGGAAUAAUGAAAUAGGACGUUCGAACCUAUUUUGUUGGUUUCUAGGAUCAACGUAAUGAUUAAUAGGGAUAGUUGGGGGCAUUAGUAUUCAAUUGUCAGAGGUGAAAUUCUUGGAUUUAUUGAAGACUAACUACUGCAAAAGCAUUUGCCAAGGAUGUUUUCAUUAAUCAAGAACGAAAGUUAGGGGAUCGAAGACGAUCAGAUACCGUCGUAGUCUCAACCAUAAACUAUGCCGACUACGGGAUACGGACGAAGUUAACUUUUAUUAAUGACGUCGUUCGGCAC